UACGGAGGGUGCGAGCGUUAAUCGGAAUUACUGGGCGUAAAGCGCGCGUAGGCGGUUUGUUAAGUCAGCUGUGAAAGCCCCGGGCUCAACCUGGGAACUGCAGUUGAUACUGACCGACUAGAGUACGAGAGAGGGAGGUAGAAUUCCAUGUGUAGCGGUGAAAUGCGUAGAUAUAUGGAGGAAUACCAGUGGCGAAGGCGGCCUCCUGGCUCGAUACUGACGCUGAGGUGCGAAAGCGUGGGGAUCAAACAGG
Molecule: ribosomal RNA, 253 nt
Filed under: uncultured bacterium
Lineage: Bacteria
Description: partial 16S ribosomal RNA
Rfam family: Bacterial small subunit ribosomal RNA
Source: RNAcentral